RNAcentral lists this long non-coding RNA (1148 nucleotides) under Anas platyrhynchos (mallard). RNAcentral's name for it is "lncRNA (ENSAPLG00020016536.1)". Lineage: Eukaryota; Metazoa; Chordata; Aves; Anseriformes; Anatidae. The record is from RNAcentral.
UGGCUCUGCAGCUCUGGGGACUCCCUCCAGCUGUCACCUGCGCUAGGUGAUCAUCGCUGGAGCCAGCCCCAGGGCGAGAAGUGCCACCUCUCUCCCUCUCUCUGCCCUCCUUUCCGCUCUCCUCCUCUCCCUCUCUUCCCCCGCUCUCUCUUUUCACCGAUAAUCAGGGCAGAGAGAUGUUCCCAGAAGCCGACCAGCAGCGGCAAGGUUCCCCUCCCCGUUACUCACAGCCAGGCGUUUCCUCAUCCCUGCAAAUUCUCCCUGCGCUGCUGGGUGCUGGGGAUGCUCCGGAUGCCGGGAUGCUGGAGAUGUGUGGGGUGCUCUGGGCAGUCAGGACGCUCUGCGAUGCUCCAGAUGCUCUGGACCAGGGGAUAAGGAGGACCACGAGAUGCUCAGGAUGCUUUGGACCCCCUGAUGCUCAGCUCAUGCCUCCCAGCUGUGCUUGCCCACUCACAGAGCUCUGUCCCCUGGGGCAGCGGGGCUCCGCUGAGCUCCUCCGUGCCCGAGCUCUGCUGCUGCAGCGGGAGGCAGCGAGGAGAGGCAGAGCAGCCCUGAGGCAGGCACGGGGAUGCUGCCAGCCAAGAUCGCCCAUGGAGAGGAAGAUGCCACACGCAGGAGUGUGGGAAGCCGCCUGGAGGUGUCCGUCCCCUGGCAGAGGUCAGCAGCAAUCUGCAGCUAAGCCCAGCAGGCAAAGCUGAGCACGAGGUUCCACCAUCCCCUGUGUCGGCUGAUAAGAGACAAAUUUUGCAUAGCCAGAUCAAGAGCAACAAAACCUGCAUUCAGUACCACACAGCUGCCCUCUCAGAAAGCAGCCAGAGGUAUGCAAAGGACUUGCUGGAUAGUUUUCUAGCCAUCCGCAGGCAGGGAGGGAUACCAAGGGAAAAAAGGGCUGCAGCCUCACUCAGACAGCCAGGGGUCGUGCCCCUCCACUGUUUUGGUUUUUUUUUUUGGGCUCAGUCUUUGCAGGGGCGACCCUGGGUGAACCCAGAGCAACUUGCCUUUUGGCAGGCAGGAGGCAAGAAGUCGGAGGACCCAGCAUGACCUGCUGGCUUCUCCGUCCCUUCUCCUCAUUCAGGAAACACUUCUGAAUUUGUAAGUGGUGUCAGGCACCCUGUACUACCACCUCAUCUUUCAGAGCCAAUACCUUG